Long non-coding RNA from Physeter macrocephalus (sperm whale), 364 nucleotides. RefSeq lists it as uncharacterized. NCBI's taxonomy places the organism in Eukaryota, Metazoa, Chordata, Mammalia, Artiodactyla, Physeteridae. The transcript is spliced from 3 exons. The record is from RefSeq and is a predicted model, not a curated record.
UUUGCAUUUUAAAAUUCCAGUUUUCUCACAGCUGAGGCAGAGAAGGAGAAAAAGGAAUUUACCUGUGUAUGAUCCACCUGAGCUAACCGGGAAGAUGAGAGAGACCUUCGAGGCAGGUUCCGAACACAAUCCAUUUCUGGGUUUGCAACUGAGGUGUUGAGAGACGCUACAAAAAAGGACAAAGACCGAAGAGCAUGCAGUUAUAUCAGACUGGAGUGAAUCAGUGAAACAAGACAUUAACCCACUUGAAGACCCUUGAGGCCUCCAGCCUUUCCCCUUGGAUAACCCUGAAAGGCGUCCAAUGGAAGAGUUUAAAAUUUCAGAGAGGGGCUUCCCUGGUGGCGCAGUGGUUAAGAAUCACCUG